GCCUGGCCAGUUCAGUCGGGGGAACGUGUGACUCUUGAUCUCAGGGAUGUGAGUUCAAGCCCCAUGUCAGGUG
Molecule: transfer RNA, 73 nt
Filed under: Ailuropoda melanoleuca (giant panda)
Lineage: Eukaryota; Metazoa; Chordata; Mammalia; Carnivora; Ursidae
Rfam family: tRNA
About the family: Transfer RNA (tRNA) molecules are approximately 80 nucleotides in length. Their secondary structure includes four short double-helical elements and three loops (D, anti-codon, and T loops). Further hydrogen bonds mediate the characteristic L-shaped molecular structure. tRNAs have two regions of fundamental functional importance: the anti-codon, which is responsible for specific mRNA codon recognition, and the 3' end, to which the tRNAs corresponding amino acid is attached (by aminoacyl-tRNA synthetases). tRNAs cope with the degeneracy of the genetic code in two manners: having more than one tRNA (with a specific anti-codon) for a particular amino acid; and 'wobble' base-pairing, i.e. permitting non-standard base-pairing at the 3rd anti-codon position.
Source: Rfam by way of RNAcentral